UACGGAGGGGGCUAGCGUUGUUCGGAAUUACUGGGCGUAAAGCGCGCGUAGGCGGACCUGCAAGUCGGGGGUGAAAGCCCGAGGCUCAACCUCGGAACUGCCUUCGAUACUGCGGGUCUCGAGUCCGGGAGAGGUGAGUGGAAUUCCUAGUGUAGAGGUGAAAUUCGUAGAUAUUAGGAAGAACACCAGUGGCGAAGGCGGCUCACUGGCUCGGUACUGACGCUGAGGCGCGAAAGCGUGGGGAGCAAACAGGG
Molecule: ribosomal RNA, 254 nt
Filed under: uncultured bacterium
Lineage: Bacteria
Description: partial 16S ribosomal RNA
Rfam family: Bacterial small subunit ribosomal RNA
Source: RNAcentral